AACAGGAUUAGAUACCCUGGUAGUCCACGCCGUAAACGAUGUCGACUUGGAGGUUGUGCCCUUGAGGCGUGGCUUCCGGAGCUAACGCGUUAAGUCGACCGCCUGGGGAGUACGGCCGCAAGGUUAAAACUCAAAUGAAUUGACGGGGGCCCGCACAAGCGGUGGAGCAUGUGGUUUAAUUCGAUGCAACGCGAAGAACCUUACCUACUCUUGACAUCCAGAGAACUUAGCAGAGAUGCUUUGGUGCCUUCGGGAACUCUGAGACAGGUGCUGCAUGGCUGUCGUCAGCUCGUGUUGUGAAAUGUUGGGUUAAGUCCCGCAACGAGCGCAACCCUUAUCCUUUGUUGCCAGCGAUUCGGUCGGGAACUCAAAGGAGACUGCCAGUGAUAAACUGGAGGAAGGUGGGGAGGACGUCAAGUCAUCAUGGCCCUUACGAGUAGGGCUACACACGUGCUACAAUGGCAUAUACAAAGAGAAGCGACCUCGCGAGAGCAAGCGGACCUCAUAAAGUAUGUCGUAGUCCGGAUUGGAGUCUGCAACUCGACUCCAUGAAGUCGGAAUCGCUAGUAAUCGUGGAUCAGAAUGCCACGGUGAAUACGUUCCCGGGCCUUGUACGCACCGCCCGUCACACCAUGGGAGCGGGUUGCAAAAGAAGUAGGUAGCUUAACCUUCGGGAGGGCGCUUACCACUUUGUGAUUCAUGACUGGGGUGAAGUCGUAACAAGGUAACC
RNAcentral lists this ribosomal RNA (730 nucleotides) under uncultured bacterium. RNAcentral describes it as "bacterial SSU rRNA". It matches the Rfam family "Bacterial small subunit ribosomal RNA", at positions 771 to 1501 of the family's 1533-position model. The record is from RNAcentral.